Molecule: transfer RNA, 73 nt
Filed under: Candidatus Eiseniibacteriota bacterium
Lineage: Bacteria; Candidatus Eiseniibacteriota
Description: tRNA-Val
Rfam family: tRNA
About the family: Transfer RNA (tRNA) molecules are approximately 80 nucleotides in length.
Source: RNAcentral
GGGCGGGUAGCUCAGUUGGCAGAGCAUCGGCAUCACAAGCCGGGGGUCGCAGGUUCAAGUCCUGUUCCGCCCA